This 154-nucleotide ribosomal RNA is filed under the name Erysiphe verniciferae. RNAcentral describes it as "5.8S ribosomal RNA". It matches the Rfam family "5.8S ribosomal RNA". From Rfam's summary of the family: 5.8S ribosomal RNA (5.8S rRNA) is a component of the large subunit of the eukaryotic ribosome. It is transcribed by RNA polymerase I as part of the 45S precursor that also contains 18S and 28S rRNA. Functionally, it is thought that 5.8S rRNA may be involved in ribosome translocation. The record is from RNAcentral. Lineage: Eukaryota; Fungi; Ascomycota; Leotiomycetes; Helotiales; Erysiphaceae.
AAAACUUUCAACAACGGAUCUCUUGGCUCUGGCAUCGAUGAAGAACGCAGCGAAAUGCGAUAAGUAAUGUGAAUUGCAGAAUUUAGUGAAUCAUCGAAUCUUUGAACGCACAUUGCGCCCCUUGGUAUUCCGAGGGGCAUGCCUGUUCGAGCAU